Molecule: long non-coding RNA, 3166 nt
Filed under: Monomorium pharaonis (pharaoh ant)
Lineage: Eukaryota; Metazoa; Arthropoda; Insecta; Hymenoptera; Formicidae
Description: uncharacterized LOC118645042
Source: RNAcentral
UAAUUAAACCUGCUAUGUCCUUUUAAUUAAAAUCAACACAAACCUCAACCGACAGGUUAAUGUCAAUCACCGAAUUUUCAAGACUAGAUGGCGUCGCGACAGAUACAAUAAUGUCCCCCAAUAGCAGCAAAAAAAUGUUGUAAUAAAAAAAUACAUUUUUAUAAAAAAACAAUAUUUUUCUGUUAUUUUAUGAAAAUUUAAUGAUAUAUAGAUAAAAUAAUUUAUUCAAUAAUAUAAUAUUUAAUGAUAUAUUAUUGUUUUCAUAAUAUAUCGAAUCAAUUAUCGAUCGAUAUGGGAGAGAUCGAUUUGAAUCAUAUAUUUUAAUUUACACAUACUUUCUAUUUUUAUAGAAAAAUAAUUAUAAUUUGUGAAACAAUGAACAAAGAACAAAGAACAAAUGAACAAAGUACAAAUUAAAAUGCUAAAUGAUAAUAACUAUAAAAUUAUUAUUUCUUGACAUUCAUAUAGGCAAAUAAUUUUUUUUAUUUACAAAUAUCACGCACUUUUAAUUUACCGAAUUAAAUGUAAUUUGCCGUUUUUCGCAUUGAGAGCGUGACGCAACGCAUGAAAAACCGGUAACGUAAAUUGUACAGAAAAACCGUAUAUAUUCAUAUCAUAUUUAUUAAUAACUUGAAAUACAAAAAGAAUAUUUGGCGAGAAUUUAGCGAAUUAUUGAAUAAUUCGUAAUUUAACAGCUCAUUCGCACGCAGCUCAAUCUUUUAAUCAUUAAUAAUAUUUUGUGCAUGUAAUGUUACUUCAAGAAUCUCGAAAUAACUGCUUCGAUAUAUAAUGGAUCGUUGUUACAAAUAUUUAAUGGUAUAAACUAAUUCCGCUUAUUGUGAUAUCAAAAAUAUAAGGUUGUAACGAAACUCUAUGAAAUAAAGAAAACAAUAAAGUUUACUUAUCAGACAAUAUAUAAAAUGUAAAAUAGAUUAUUUGGCGUUUACUUAUUUCUACAAUAUCUAUGGCCAUGCCUAGAAUACCGACGCAUAUUACACGUCAAAUAUUUUGGUAAAAAAACUUGCUCAAGUAUCCAUAUCCCUUUGCUUCACAGUGAUAGCCUGAUAUAUGGUCAGCAUUCGUUUUUUUUUCUUUUUUAAGCAAAUUAAAGUUUGCAUAGAGGUUCAGAAGAAAUCUUCCCUCCCAUGGGUACGACCUUGUCGUGGUGGGAGGGCUCAGUACCCCGAGGGCUUGAAUGCCUGUGGGGGAAGCUAACUGUACCCAUUGCACUUAUUAAGUUUGUUUUUUAUUCCUGCACUGCUACACUAGUGCAAUAAGUAAGAAUGAGAAAAAAUAUAUUUGUCUUAUUCUAACUUAUUGCACCAGUGCAGCAGUGCAGGAAUAAAAAACAAACCUAUUACGUCGUUGAUCGUAAAAUUAUGGUUCGUCGCGCCGUGUUAACGCGGUUCGGGAGUGCCGACCGAUUGAAUUGAAAACGAACCGUAGUCGGCUCGUCGUGUCGCGCGUUUGCUUCGGGAGUGUCGUUCAAGUAAAUGGACUAAAAGAGCUGUCUAGUCCUAGUCUAAUUAGUUCUACGCGCGAUCGUAGUAUAUUCGGUUAUUCGCGAGUGUCCUGUGCAACGAGAGGAGGAGGAGGCCUGGGAAAGGCAUUGGGCCCCGGCAGAGCAACUUUGGGAAUCAUCGUAGCGACGUUGCUGAAUAUCUCUGCCGCUGCGCAUCGAUCGGUGAGUGAUGAAUAAACUUUUAAAAUUGGAGUAAUAGAUCUCUGUGAUAAAAUUGUACUUCAUAUAUAAUGUAGAAUUGUACUUCAUAUAUAAUGUAGAAAUGUUUGCUAUAAUGCUGUAAUAAUAAAUAACAUUUAGAUAUCAUAUUUAUUUCAUGGAUCUAUUGCUUUAAAGUGGAUUGACUAAAACAGAUCAGGAUUUAACAUUUAAUCCUGAAUGAAUGAUAUACAUUAACUUAUCAUGCAUAUUUAAUUUAUUAAAUAAUUUUUUUUCGACACCGUCGCAGUCUCGGCGAGGGUUAGGUAUGUGUUCAACAUCAUCAAAUAUAAAUUACAAGUAUAAUAAAAAAUAUAUAAUGUAUCUUGCACGUAUGCGCACAAUUAGAAACUGCGUGCCGUUUCGUCUCUGAUAAAUUCCGUCAAAUAACUAAAAUAGAAUAAAAUAAAUGCCGAUCAACUAAAUUUAACUAUAAACUUGAAAUGUUUUAAAUUCCCUUUUAAAAUUUUAUUUCUUUCUGGGGUAAUAACAGCCGCUAUAAUUAAUCAUACGAAUAGGUAGAAAUAUUAAUAUAUAGAAAUAUGUAAAAAAUAAAUAGGUAUUAGAAAAUAGAUAGAAAACGGAUAAGCAGAUUACUCUAUGUAAAUAGAUAUACGAAAAAAUUAUGUAAUUCAACGUGUAAAUGCUUUUUUUAAUUUUAUAGAAACAAUCUGUGUAAUUAAAAAUUAUAUGAUUGUUGUUGUUAUGAUGUUAUGUAAUUAAAAAUUAUAUACUAAUGCCCGAUAUAUUACAGGAAAUCAGAGCAUGAUAUACGAUAAUACAUUACAAUUUAUUAAAUUAGCAUGUUAAAUUUAUAUACUUUUUACUUUAUAUUUUUGAAAUAUUUUAAUGUUUGUUCUUAAUUUUCUUCUAAUUUUGUUUCUAAACUUUCAUUCUUUUUUUAUAUCUUUAUUCUUCAAUACCAGAAUAUUUAAUACAAAUGGUGAAUUUUAAUAUUGUUGUAUUUAUUUCGUCGCUUUUAUGUAAUGUGAUGAAAAUAUAUUGUAAAAUGUAUUGUAAAAUAUUUUAUAAUUUGUAAUUUAUUAAUUUUAUUUUCAAUAUUUGAUAUGAUAUAAAUUCUAACUUAUAUAAAUUGUAAUAAAUAUAUUGUAAAAUUAUACUUUAUACUGUAAAAUUAUUCUUUAUGCAUCUGCUGUAAAUUUAUUUUACUAUGUUGUAUUAUUGAAUUAUGUAACAAACAAUAACAAUAAAAUAAAGAAAACACAUUUAAAGAAAAGAGGACCGUCGACUAAGAAUCGACGGGGGGUGGUGGAGGGCCUCUACAGGUUGAUCCGUUUUUACCGAGUAAAAUUUUAAUUAUAAAUUACAUUAAAAACAUAAUCUUUAGUUAAGAAAAUGUUAUCAUUUAUCCUGUAAAAUUUCAUUUGGUAAAAACAGAUCAAAUUUAACCAAAAUAUAUUCAAUCACAAUAAUAUACGGUAAAAA